Molecule: long non-coding RNA, 1402 nt
Organism: Manis pentadactyla (Chinese pangolin)
Lineage: Eukaryota; Metazoa; Chordata; Mammalia; Pholidota; Manidae
Exons: 3
Source: RefSeq, a predicted model, not a curated record
AUGCAACUGAGCCUCCUAAGGACUUCCACCUUUACAGAUCCCCAGUUGAUCCAGAUCAUUUGUUUUAGAAGGGCCUUUUGUGUUCUGUGUCCUUGCAAAUGGGAGUCGGGUCACAGUUCUUUUGUGAUCAACUGUCAGAACCAGCAGGGCAAUAGUCACUCCCCAAAAAAGACUUCAAAUAACAAUAGCCAGUCUGUCUCUUGGAAAGGAGCUGUUUGUUCAUCGGGCAGUACUCCUGACCCCCUGCUCAGAACCUCUGUCUAGUAAACUCAAAAGCAGAGAUUCCAAACCCUUGCUGUGCACCAGAAACAUCAGGGAUUAGAAAAAAAUACUGAUGGCCAGCUACCACUCCCACGCAUUCUGAUUUAACGAGUGUGGGAUGCAACCCGGGCAUUAGGAUUUUAAUAAGGCUCUCUGGGUGAUUCAAGCAUGCAGGGAAGUUUAGGAAUCAUUACUUUAAGGCUCUAUUUGCUUUAAGACAGCUCCAGCUCUGGAACCUCUGUGUAUGCUGGCCUCUCAAGAAACUUCCCCAAAGUCCCAGCAGCCGUGAGUCCGCUACUUCAACAAGGACAGCUGCACGGAUCCAAAGAUCUAGAUUGUAGCCAUCUCAGCCCAGCUCUCCUCUCCUUCAAGACAGGCCUGCAGGCAGCCUAUCACCAAAAAUAUCAGGACAAGGCAUGAUGGCCUCCCAGAGGGAACUGGGGCUUCCUGCUUGUAAGCUGACUGAAGAGGAGAGGCCUUACCAUCCCAAGCAAAGCUGGCUUCCCAAGCAAAGUUCCCAUCACAGAAUCCUACCUUUCUUCGGAAGAAGGUAAUUCUUCGAUGAAGGGGUACAAGAAGUCAGUAAAAGCAGAUCUCCAUUCAUUGCGCUAUUCAUUUCGGUCUCCCUGCCAGAGACAAUGUUCUGCCCAGUGACACUGUGAUAUAAUAUAAUGAGAGCCUCCUGUCAACUUAUGCACUAAAGCCCCUCAAGGAGGGUUCAGAAUGGAUGGACCUCCUCAUACAGUGGAUUAUGUUACAGCGAGAAGGAAUAAAGUUGCCACUGCCACGAGAGGCCAUGAUUCUCACAUCAGUUCCUCUGUAAAACAGACUGAUCAGUAAGCAGGAAUGAAAACAAUAAUAAAGGAUUAUUUUGAUGGUGUUAAGGGGAGAGAUAAUAAGAUAUCUCUGGAAAGUUGUGGAAGACCAAGUCCUAAUGAGGGGUGGGAGAAGAUGAUAGAGGCUCCACGGAACUCAAGACACAUGAAUUUCAAAUGCCCAGCCAAGAUUUGGACAUGUACAGAUAAUUCCCCAAACUCUUCAAAAAAUGACAAUUGAAUUUACCAUUCUUUAAAUGAAUGCUUCAGUACCUCAGCAAUCACUAAGAGCCCUUCAGUAUUGGAAAUUAAAAUAAUUAAUGACA